RNAcentral lists this unclassified non-coding RNA (658 nucleotides) under Leptolyngbyaceae cyanobacterium S19. RNAcentral describes it as "partial 16S-23S ribosomal RNA intergenic spacer". The stretch from base 1 to 150 matches the Rfam family "Bacterial small subunit ribosomal RNA", at positions 1385 to 1533 of the family's 1533-position model. The record is from RNAcentral. Lineage: Bacteria; Bacillati; Cyanobacteriota; Cyanophyceae; Leptolyngbyales; Leptolyngbyaceae.
ACACCGGCCCGUCACACCAUGGAAGCUGGCCACGCCCGAAGUCGUUACCCCAACCGUUCGCGGAGGGGGACGCCGAAGGCAGGGCUGGUGACUGGGGUGAAGUCGUAACAAGGUAGCCGUACCGGAAGGUGUGGCUGGAUCACCUCUUUUCAAGGAGACCUACCCUACUUAGACGUGCGAAAACUGAUAGAGCACCUAAGUAAGGUCAUCCUAGGUCGGUCGAGAUGAUUAUUAUUGGUUUCUGAACUAUCGAGGGGCCGGAUAUGGGCUAUUAGCUCAGGUGGUUAGAGCGCACCCCUGAUAAGGGUGAGGUCCCUGGUUCGAGUCCAGGAUGGCCCACUCGUGGGGGUAUAGCUCAGCUGGUAGAGCGCCUGCUUUGCAAGCAGGAUGUCAGCGGUUCGAGUCCGCUUACCUCCACCAGAUUUAAUAAUUCAGCACUAUUUCUAAACUACUGAGCAGACAAGCUAUCAGUAGCUAGAAAGGCUGCUGGAUUAGACCAGCAAAGAACCUUGAAAACUGCAUAGAGAUAAAGAGAUGUCAGGUAGAUGUUGACGAAGCUAUGAAUCAGCAAUGAUUGAUGGUUCAGUCACGAACAGACACCAAUGUAAGUAAAUGGUCAAGCUAUCAAGGGCUUACGGCGGAUACCUAGGCACAGAGA